Lolium perenne is the source of this 2542-nucleotide non-coding RNA. The record is from RefSeq and is a predicted model, not a curated record. Lineage: Eukaryota; Viridiplantae; Streptophyta; Magnoliopsida; Poales; Poaceae.
CUCCACGUAACUGUCGAACGGUGGAUGCGACGCCGGCACCUACCGGCGCCGGUAAAUUCGCUGUGUUCCGAUUGAGAAAAUCAAACGACCUCCACCUUCUCUCCUUGAUCCAAUCACACCCAUGUCAAAAAAAUCCAAUCAGGCCGCCGCUUAGGCAUCUUCUUCCUCCAGAGAGCGCAGUCGCCGGCCGCCCGCACGACCAAACCUCUCCGCCGCCGGUAGCCCGCACGUUUAAUCUUUCGACCGGCGGUCGUAUCCAGCCCAUGCGGGCAUGCGGCCGCCCCAAGCUGUACCAUACUACCAUGUCUAACCCCCGCCGCCGAGGAACCUCAUACCCAACAGCGUCCCGAACAUCCUCGCCACCUUCAAGAUGCCCUACGGCCUGACCUACAUCGACACAAGCCCACCGACCGCUGCUCCGAUGGCUGCAUCGUCAUGGACUACAUAUUUAGCUAUCCUUUUCUUAGUCCCACCUCCUGAGAUUCAGGAGAGAUGGUGCUUUACUGUGCUAAUUAGUUCAUUCGUUCAUGAGAUUAAUAUGUAGUCCAUAUGUAGCCUAAUUGAUACUUUUCAUUUGUUAUGUAUUGGCACAUGUGGAUCCAUUAGUGUUAUAUCUCAUUAGUGAAUAGUAUUUUUUUUGGUUCUUGAUGUUGCAGUUGAGCCCUAUUUUUCCUUUUGUGAUGCAAUUAAUUGCCAUUGUCAAGUGUGGUACGAAAAUACAUUGCAUUGGCUGCCCAUGUUUGUUUGAGCUGAAUGGUGCAGGUUAACACGCCGCUGCCAUGGCCACCUACAGACUGCAGGUUGGGCAAGGUGAGGAAAAUAACCAUGGUAAUUAUCGUGAUUUUCUUUGCUUGAAUAUCCAUAAUCUACAUAACCGUGAGGAGCUGCAAGUCUGAAUUGAUUGGCUGCAUACAAUGUUUGGCUUAGCCCUUCAUGGAGUGGCUUCAAAUCAUCUAAAACGUGCAUUUUUAGUUGUGUUUGGGAAACCGAAAUCCAAUCUUAAUAAUCAGUCACUACUCUUCAGCGUUUUCUUAUGUAAAAGCUGAGAUCCUAUCAAUCUCAGUGUAUCUAUUUCUUGACUGAAGCUUAUACAGUAAUACGAGAUAGAUUGUCGAGACAGAGAGCCAUAUAUCUACAUCUAUUAAUGUUUUGGAGAGGCAUGUCAUUCCCCAGAUUAUACCAAUUUUCACAGUACAUUACUAUAUUAUAAGGUUCUGCCACUGAACUUGAUAUGAAAUAUUCUUUCUCUUUUAAUGGAUACACAAGUUUGUUGUUCUGACUGAUCACUCUAUUAUAAGACUGAGCUUGAUAUGAAAUAUUCUGUCUUUUUUCUGUUGUUGCUGAACCUAUUGGCUUGUUUGUGAAUAAUCACAUGGUUUUGAUUGAGGUAAGGACCAAGUUGUACUUUUGCUAUGUCAGUAACAUCUGGAGAAUGCAGUCACAGAAGGAGUACACCAAGUUGGAAUUUUGCAUUCCAUCAUGGGAUCUGCAGCUAGCCUGUGCCGUCAAGUUGUACCUCAGAUUGGUUUCAUUGAUGGUCCAUGACUGGAGGUUUUAACCAACACAAGAUCAAGGUCGGUUGGUAGAAUGCCUUCAGAACAGAGAAAUCUCCACUACUAUGGCAUGAGAGUUGGUUCAUUCCUAUCUCCCAAACCAGUCAUUGUACAACCAAAAAAGGUUCGAGCCCUCCUCCCAUUUCUGUUCCUCACGGUAUUCUAUUUUUUUUUCUUGUUUUUCAAUUGUGAAUUCAGCAUUGUCUGCCAUUGAACAUAUUUUUGCAUUUCAUUUUGAUGUAUGUUGGGCUCUUUGGUGCUUCUUGCUGAGAGCUGCAUGGCUUGGAGGAGCUCGCAAGGUUAACGAAGGUAUAUGAUGCUGCAGUGCACCUCAUACGCACAUCAUCAACAAUCUCCCAUUUGGUAUAGUAACUUGGUGUUGUUCAAACAAAAAAGUUCAGGACGCCCAAGACUGAGGUGGUGAGUGUUACAGAUCAAGUGGUGGCCACUUUGUGGAGGGAUGUGGUACGGUCCAAGGACGACAUGAGGAUGUGAGUCUUGCCAUGACUACAUGCACUUCGUCAAUAUGCUUCUGUAAGUGAAAGCUGCUGCUAUAUUUUUUUAGUUUUUUGACUGGUCAUUUUGGGCUUGUGCUUUUAGUAGGACACAAACGAUGAUUUCAAUGGUCCAUUGUAUUGCAAUUGAUUGUCCUUUUUGUAGAAAAUUUCCAAGGUAGAUUGGGGCAGAAUUUUCCAUGCCGUAUUUCUCCUCGAGUAAGCAAGCCAUUUGAAUUACUCACGGAAUGAUACCUCUCUGGCAUUUUUAGUUACAUAUUUACCUAAAUCCUCUAUAAUAGCAAGUUCUUAUUUGUUUAAUAUAUUUGCCUCUCCUAACUAGGAUAAGUAAACAAAUUACAAAGAUCUUUUCCAAAGGAGAGGAGAGGAAAAAAUAGCCUCCUUUUGGGCUUGUGAACCGUGUGCAAAUAUUUUGAUGAAUUGUUGGAUAUUUCUAAACUCUGAGGUGGUAGUGUAGACCACCAUGAUUGUUGU